GCAUUUAGGUUUCGGGCGGGCGGACGGGGGACGGCCCGAGUGAGGCGUCCUCCGAAGGCUGCGGGCCCGAAGCCAGAACUCCUUCCUCUCCGAAGACCUCGGGGGUGGGGCUCGCGCUUCCGCAGCGGGCCUAGAGCGAGAGGCAGGCGGCAGGUCAAGAGACUGCUCUCCUCCCCAAGCUAGGGGAACCUUCUGGGACUCCAUCAACUGACAAUGAGGGGAUAAUGGUCCCUCACUGCCCCAUCAGGAAAGGCUCAUGGGUGAUUGGGACCUUUGCUUGAAACCCAACUUACUGGCCAGGAACCUCAAGUUCUGGGACCAGGCGCCUUCCUCCCUCCCACUGUGCCAGAGGAGGGGAGACAAAAUCCCUCAAUGGCUGUCUAGCUCCAGGCAGAUCAGCUGCCACGGGGACUGCUGAGCAGGGAGAGGCUGUCGAUGCUGAGGCACGAGAGAAUUUGCUCCUGCUCCUCCAGAGAAAAUGGCUGGGACAGGCUGUUGAGGAAUAAUUCUGCAGGGAAAAGUGGAAGAUGGCUGUGAAAGACUGGGAGGAGGCUGGCUGUGUUUUCAGGGGUUCUUCCUGCACAGUCGGUAGAAGCUGAGCUGCUGGGGAAGGGGCUGGAAGAAAGCCCACACCGCAGGUAUCAGUAGCAAAUUCAAAAACUACAGAAUCAGCUCCAGAGGACUUUGUUAACAAGAAAGAGAAGAUUGAAAACAGCCCUGGGGCUACACCAACUCAAGAGCUCCCAGGCAAAGUGGCAUCCUGGACCCACCAUCUCUCCUACCCCAUCCUCAGUCGGUACUUCCCCAGGCACCGUUUGUUCUGGCAUGGGGCUAGUUCAGCCCUGGGACCACCCUCAUCCUUAUAACUACCAGCUGUCUUUGGUGAGGUGCAAGAUCUCUCUGGUUUUCUUUAUUUCAUUUUCAUUCCUAUAAUCACAGCCUUUUUUGUGCCCAUCCCUCAGGUGACAUUCUAUUAUGUUUGAUGUGUCAUUUUUGAUUUGGUUGUGUCCUUGCAAAAUGUGCGUUGUUUUAUUUAUCAAUUUAUUUUUAUUUUUAUUUUUUUAAAGAGAUGAGGUCUCAUCAUGUUGCCCAGGCUGGACUCCAACUCCUGGGCUCAAGCGAUCCUUCCACCUCAAUCUUCUGAGUGGCUGGGACUACAGAUGUGCGCCACCAUACCUGGCUAUUGAUCAAUUUUUAGUUUACCAAACAGGCAUUAUGUUCUGGGUCCCAUUCUGUGUCGGGUUCUCUUUUCACUCGGCA
This 1260-nucleotide long non-coding RNA is filed under the name Homo sapiens (human). Its description in RNAcentral is "HSALNT0241397". Lineage: Eukaryota; Metazoa; Chordata; Mammalia; Primates; Hominidae. The record is from RNAcentral.